GCCCGGCCACGGUGGGAUUCGAAUCUACGACCUUUGGAAUACUAGCCCCCUGCUCUUCCAACUGAGCUACGCGGUCAGGACGGUUCGAGUAAGUGAUAUUUCGGAACAGAAUCUAGUUCCGUCGAUACCAAUGUAUUCUAGUAAUAUGAAUUUUUUUUCUGUGUGGGUGUAGUGUACUCAGGUGAAUAUGAUAAUUGUGGUGUUACUCUGAGUGUAUAUCCACACCGGGCGAGCUUGAAAAAUAUGCCCGGCCACGGUGGGAUUCGAACCUACGACCUUUGGAAUACUAGCCCCAUGCUCUUCCAACUGAGCUACGCGGUCAGGACAGUUCGAGUAAGUGAUAUUUCGGAACAGAAUCUAGUUCCUUCGAUACCAAUGUAUUCUAGUAAUAUGAUUUUUUUUUCUGUGUUGGUGUAGUGUACUCAGGUGAAUAUGAUAUUUGUGGUGUUACUCUGAGUGUAUAUCCACACCGGGCGAGCUUGAAAAAUAUGCCCGGCCACGGUGGGAUUCGAACCUACGACCUUUGGAAUACUAGCCCCAUGCUCUUCCAACUGAGCUACGCGGUCAGGACGGUUCGAGUAAGUGAUAUUUCGGAACAGAAUCUAGUUCCUU
RNAcentral lists this long non-coding RNA (612 nucleotides) under Paramuricea clavata. The record is from RNAcentral. Lineage: Eukaryota; Metazoa; Cnidaria; Anthozoa; Malacalcyonacea; Plexauridae.